This 80-nucleotide small RNA is filed under the name Escherichia coli. RNAcentral's name for it is "isrK". It matches the Rfam family "isrK Hfq binding RNA". The record is from RNAcentral. Lineage: Bacteria; Pseudomonadati; Pseudomonadota; Gammaproteobacteria; Enterobacterales; Enterobacteriaceae.
GCUGGUGUAAAUCCACCAGCCGGGCGUGAGAACCUGUUUAAUGAGCAAAAGGCGACACAGACGCGCCCAGCGUCUUUUUU